GUUUCUCUUCUGCAGACUUCAUUUUCUGAGUCUCAAGAAACACAUCCCAACCACCAGAACCAGCUCCAACAACAGCCCAGCCACAAGCUCUUUUCACAACCACCCACUUCUUUCAUCUAAUGAUAUGAAGUGCUUGGUCAGCUCUGACUGUUCUAGAGAACUGAAGCAAGGGUUGGAUAUAAAUUGAUCCACGGAAUGGAACACCUCUCCUAUAAGGACAGGCUGAGAGAGCUGGGGCUCUUCAGCCUAGAGAAGAGAAGGCUGCGAUGUGAUGUGGUUAAUGCCCCUUCUCUGGAGAUUUUCAAGGGAAAUAUUCCUCACCAUCAGAGUUGUCAGAACUUAACAGCAUGUGGGACAUGCCAGCUACUGAAGAUAAAAGAAUUGAUUAAGGGAGAAAAAACAAUGGGCUCAUGAAGUAUGGCUGUUUGUCCUAUUUCCAACUUGCUGAGAUGGAGAAUAACAAAGCUCUUAAACCACCUACUAAUAAAGCAGCAUUUUUAAUUACAAUAUGUUUCUAAUAUUUACACAUAUGAAUUUUAUGUUCUCAAGGAACAACAAUGUCUUGUCAAACUGCACACUAAAUGUUGUUUAUAACUAUUGGAUAAACUUUGCCAUUACAGAUUUAUCAG
Molecule: non-coding RNA, 629 nt
Organism: Meleagris gallopavo (turkey)
Lineage: Eukaryota; Metazoa; Chordata; Aves; Galliformes; Phasianidae
Source: RefSeq, a predicted model, not a curated record